This 1290-nucleotide ribosomal RNA is filed under the name Triticum aestivum (bread wheat). RNAcentral's name for it is "partial small subunit ribosomal RNA". The record is from RNAcentral. Lineage: Eukaryota; Viridiplantae; Streptophyta; Magnoliopsida; Poales; Poaceae.
AUGGCGGAGGCGUCGGGCGACGGGGGCAUGGAAGACAAGAUCAGCGCCCUCCCGGAUGAGCUCCUCAUCCAUGUUCUCUCCCACCUGCGCUCACGCGAAGCUGUGCACACAUGCGUGCUGGCACGGCGCUGGCGAGACCUCUGGCAGUGGGUGCCCUGCAUCGACGUGUCUUUCAAGGAAUUCGCAGACAUGCCGUAUGAAGAUGAUGAUGAAGACGACUUUGAGUUCAAGAAGUUCGUCAACCGUUUGCUGAUGCUCCGUAGACCCGUUGACCUGGAGGCGUUCCGGCUCGAGUACAGGUUGCCCACCGACGGCGACUACGCUGAAGAUGACUCCGCCGGUGCUAACCUAUGGAUCGCCCAUGUGUUACAGUACAAGGCUCAGGCUGUCAAGGUUGUCACUCAGAACGAAUAUUUGCAGCUCGCACCUUCGGUAUUCACUUCAGCGUACCUGAAAAGACUGCACAUCUGCAAUGCUAAUCUGAUCCAAGGUUUCUUUAAGCACCUCCAAAUGGGCUGCCCAGUAUUGGAGUAUCUAUUGCUAUCGAACACCAACAUUCAGGACCUUGAUAUUUUCUCCAAUACACUGAAGGCUUUGACCCUCGCUGAUGAUGUUAUGUUCUCAUUUAACAAUGGUGACCAGGCUUCUAUUUCUGCUCCAAACCUCACUUCUCUGUCCUUCGAAUGGUGUCCUUCCGCGGCCAGGCUACCUGUACUAAAGAACAUGACAUCUCUAGAGACGGCGUCAGUAGUACUUUUAUGGGGGACAAUCAGAUAUUGUGAUGCGGAUGGUAUCAAGCAGUUUCUUGGAGGCCUCUCUCAUGUUAGAAGUUUGAACUUCUGUUAUGGCGUUAAAAAGGUGGAGAUGAAAGAUAACUACAGAUGGUGCCCAACAUUUGGUAAUCUUAUAAACCUGACUCUUCAUAGUUCGUGCGUGCAUGGAGACUUCUAUGCACUGAUAGUCUUCCUACAGAACUCACCUAGUCUAAAGAAGCUAACUCUUGAACUAUACCAGGUAUAUGGUCUUCUCCGUAGCAUCUAUCCUUCAAUGAAUGUUGGUGCAUUUACUGUAAAGAUAAAACUGUUCCUUUUUAUUUGCCAGCGUGAAUAUCAAACGCAGGAUAUACCUACAAUCACUGGCGAGCUUGAGGAUAGAUCAUUUACAUGUGAGCAGCUUGAGAUUGUUGAAAUCAUAUGCUCGGAGGGAAAUGAGCUGCUACCUUGGGUGAAUCAGUUCUUGCUUGAUAGUGGCAUAAGGCCUGAUCAGAUGCGUGUCAUUUACGAGGACUAA